This is a long non-coding RNA of Cyprinus carpio carpio, 1704 nucleotides long. The record is from Ensembl. NCBI's taxonomy places the organism in Eukaryota, Metazoa, Chordata, Actinopteri, Cypriniformes, Cyprinidae.
AGGACAGGGUAUGAGUCUAAUGGUCUUCUGUGCGUGACUGACGUGGUUCUUCACGCUGCAGCUGAUGUCUCCAUCAGUUCUCUCAUCCAGAUCAAUGCUGCUGUUUCCAUCCAUCAGUGGAUCUCCAUUCAGAGUCCAGCUGUAGAGGAGAUGAUCCCCCUCAGAGGAGCAGAACACCCUCAUCACCCCACUGGAGGAGCAGAUGAUUGACACUUCCACUGAGCCAAAAGGAGCUGGAGGGAGGGACACAUCACAGUCACAUGACAAACACAAACUCUUGUUCUUCCACACUACUCAUAUUAUUACUGGAGUAUGCAGUGUGUUUACUGUGUGCUACAGGAAUAAAAAUCUUCACAGAGAUGCAAGUGAUUCAUUUGUAUGAGAGUGAGAUGUUUGGAGAACAUGAGAUUGUAAAGAGUCUGAUGAGAGAGUUUCUGUACCUUCAACAAUCACCUGAAGAUCUCUAGAUGUUUCUGAGCCGUCUGAGUGAACAAGAGUUAAUGUGUAAUUCCCUGAAUCUGCUCUGAUCACACGGUUUAUUAUCACAGUCCCAUUAAUGACUGUCACUUCAGUUCUGUUAUUAUAAAGAUCACACUGACUCAUCCUCAUCCUGCCAUUCUUUACUCUACAAACUGGACCAUCUGCUGUAUUGUUGUUUAUUCUCUUUUUUAACUGCAGGUCAUAUUUACUAGCAUCCAUCACCAUCAGCAGAUUGAGUUUGUGUCCCAGAGCUGCAUUACAUGGACCAGACUGAUCAAAACUGCAGUUAAACUCCAGACCUGAAGAACAAAACACACACAAUAUAAUGUACCAAAAUCUAUAAACAUCAUUCAUUAAAAUCAGACACAAAUUACACAAACAUUAACAGAAUUAAAGUUCAUCUGAAGAAACAUCAGACAGACUCUUGAUUUGAUCUCAGUUCAUCUCAAUAAUGCUCAUCUUCAUCAUAAACAGAUUUUUGUGAUUUGUGUGUCUCCAGACUUACUACUAAUUAGCAGGAUACUGAACAUUAUCACAUUACUGGACAUAUUUAACUCUUUUUAGUGUGUAGUAAAAAAAUAACUGUUAAAGUUAUGCAUUUUGACACUGUAAUAUCAGCUGUAUGGCCUCAGUCAAAAAGCAAAUCUAAAUGUUGAUUGUAUUCAAAUGUAACUAUCAUGCUUUCACUGUCUGCAAACACUUUAUGCAUUUCUUCAUUAUUCUGACAAAUCAUAAAUUGACUUUGUCAGGCACUUUCUGUCCAAUUCCAUUAACCUGUGACAUUUCUCUGUUUAUAAAUAAUGUCUUGAUCUUUCUGACAUCAGAUUUAAUGGACUGACAUCAUUUGAUGAAUCCUUCCUCAAACUUUCAGCACAACAGACAUGAAGAAAGAAACACACACUUCCUCUCACAUUUUAAACACUCCACUAAUAUAAACUGUACAGACCAGAAAAGUCUAUGACUAGAUCACUACAGACUCUUAAUGUAAUAUUGCAACUAGACUGUUUAAUUAAUGUGCUAAUUGCUGUCAAUAAUCAUGGGAAAAUAAUAAUGUGUUAAAAAUAUUCACACAAUUAAUGCACCCCGCUCUAUCCAGUCCUGUCCGUCAUCUUACACUGAUGCAGCUGCUGAUGAACAUGAUGCAGGACAACUGAAUGUGUGAUGAAGACUAUUAGAAUGCUGUUAUAUGCCACUAAAAUACAAUGGCAAAAGUGUACAGGUUAG